Molecule: ribosomal RNA, 540 nt
Filed under: uncultured bacterium
Lineage: Bacteria
Description: partial 16S ribosomal RNA
Rfam family: Bacterial small subunit ribosomal RNA
Source: RNAcentral
UGGGGAAUUUUGGACAAUGGGCGAAAGCCUGAUCCAGCAAUGCCGCGUGUGUGAAGAAGGCCUUCGGGUUGUAAAGCACUUUUGUCCGGAAAGAAAUCCUUGGCUCUAAUACAGUCGGGGGAUGACGGUACCGGAAGAAUAAGCACCGGCUAACUACGUGCCAGCAGCCGCGGUAAUACGUAGGGUGCAAGCGUUAAUCGGAAUUACUGGGCGUAAAGCGUGCGCAGGCGGUUUGCUAAGACCGAUGUGAAAUCCCCGGGCUCAACCUGGGAACUGCAUUGGUGACUGGCAGGCUAGAGUAUGGCAGAGGGGGGUAGAAUUCCACGUGUAGCAGUGAAAUGCGUAGAGAUGUGGAGGAAUACCGAUGGCGAAGGCAGCCCCCUGGGCCAAUACUGACGCUCAUGCACGAAAGCGUGGGGAGCAAACAGGAUUAGAUACCCUGGUAGUCCACGCCCUAAACGAUGUCAACUAGUUGUUGGGGAUUCAUUCCUUAGUAACGUAGCUAACGCGUGAAGUUGACCGCCUGGGGAGUACGGUCGC